RNAcentral lists this small RNA (566 nucleotides) under Pan troglodytes (chimpanzee). RNAcentral's name for it is "retained intron". Lineage: Eukaryota; Metazoa; Chordata; Mammalia; Primates; Hominidae. The record is from RNAcentral.
GUGGAAUGAUGCGUAUAUGAUUCUGGCACAACCAGUUCUUUCCCUGAAGCAGCUGUUGCCACCACCCUCUUCCUGCCAGGCAGUGGAGGAAGGUGCUUGCGGGAGCUGCGGACACACUGUUGUGUGUUAGGCAUCUACUUAGCUGGCCUCAUGUUCUGCUUUUGCUGGCAGAAUUCCUUGCUGAAGCUGCAAGCCCUCGAAUCUGAUCUGUGCUCUGCAUUUUUAACAAACCAGGAAGAAGCUGCUCAGGUGCAUGGAGUCAAGGACCCAGCGCCAGCAUCAACCCAGAGUGUGCUUGCCGAUGGGACAGAUUCUGCAGACCCCUCACCAGUCCACAAAGAUGGGCAGAAUGAGGCCGACAGUGCACCAGAAGACCUCCAGUCUGUGGGGACCAGCAGGCUGCUCUAUCACAUCACUGAUGGUGAUAACCCACUGCUGUCGCCACGAUGCUCCAUCUUCAGCCAAAGCCAGAGAUUCAACUUAGACCCCGAGUCAGCCCCAUCUCCACCCAGCACUCAGCAGUUUAUGAUGCCGCGGAGUUCUUCACGCUGCAGCUGUGGAGAUGG